UACGAAGGGUGCUAGCGUUGUUCGGAAUUACUGGGCGUAAAGAGCGCGUAGGCGGUUGUACUAGUCAGGGGGGAAAUCCCAGAGCUUAACUCUGGAACUGCCUUUGAAACUGUGCAGCUGGAGUGUGUGAGGGGAUAGCGGAAUUCCUAAUGUAGAGGUGAAAUUCGUAGAUAUUAGGAGGAACACCGGUGGCGAAGGCGGCUAUCUGGCACACAACUGACGCUGAGGCGCGAAAGCGUGGGGAGCGAACAGG
RNAcentral lists this ribosomal RNA (253 nucleotides) under uncultured bacterium. RNAcentral's name for it is "partial 16S ribosomal RNA". It matches the Rfam family "Bacterial small subunit ribosomal RNA", at positions 524 to 776 of the family's 1533-position model. The record is from RNAcentral.